This 253-nucleotide ribosomal RNA is filed under the name uncultured bacterium. RNAcentral describes it as "partial 16S ribosomal RNA". It matches the Rfam family "Bacterial small subunit ribosomal RNA", at positions 524 to 776 of the family's 1533-position model. The record is from RNAcentral.
UACGGAGGGUGCAAGCGUUGCUCGGAAUUAUUGGGCGUAAAGGGCAGGUAGGUGGUCUCAUUUGUCUGAUGUGAAAGCCUUGGGCUUAACUCAAGAAGUGCGUCAGAAACGGUGAGACUCGAGUACUGGAGAGGUAAGUGGAAUUCCCGGUGUAGCGGUGAAAUGCGUAGAGAUCGGGAGGAACACCAGAGGCGAAGGCGGCUUACUGGACAGUCACUGACACUCAACUGCGAAAGCGUGGGGAGCAAACAGG